RNAcentral lists this ribosomal RNA (458 nucleotides) under uncultured bacterium. RNAcentral's name for it is "partial 16S ribosomal RNA". It matches the Rfam family "Bacterial small subunit ribosomal RNA", at positions 29 to 523 of the family's 1533-position model. The record is from RNAcentral.
AACGAACGCUGGCGGCAGGCCUUACACAUGCAAGUCGAACGUGAAAGUCCUUCGGGAUGAGUAAAGUGGCGCACGGGUGAGUAACGCGUGGGAGCGUACCCUUCAGUACGGGAUAACAGCGGGAAACUGCUGCUAAUACCGUAUAUUCUCGAGAGAGGAAAGAUUUAUCGCUGAAGGAUCGGCCCGCGUCAGAUUAGCUGGUUUGUGGGGUAAUGGCCUACCAGGGCUACGAUCCGUAGCUGGUCUGAGAGGAAGAUCAGCCACACUGGAACUGAGACACGGUCCAGACUCCUACGGGAGGCAGCAGUGGGGAAUAUUGGACAAUGGGCGAAAGCCUGAUCCAGCCAUGCCGCGUGAAUGAUGAAGGCCUUAGGGUUGUAAAGUUCUUUUGACGGGGAAGAUAAUGACGGUACCCGUAGAAUAAGCUCCGGCUAACUUCGUGCCAGCCGCCGCAGUAA